This 223-nucleotide signal recognition particle RNA is filed under the name Chlorocebus sabaeus (green monkey). RNAcentral's name for it is "Metazoan signal recognition particle RNA". It matches the Rfam family "Metazoan signal recognition particle RNA". From Rfam's summary of the family: The signal recognition particle (SRP) is a universally conserved ribonucleoprotein. It is involved in the co-translational targeting of proteins to membranes. Lineage: Eukaryota; Metazoa; Chordata; Mammalia; Primates; Cercopithecidae. The record is from Rfam by way of RNAcentral.
GCCGGGUAUGGUGGCACGUGCCUGUAAUCCCAGCACUUUGGGAGGCUGAGCGGGGCAGAUCACUUGAGGUCAGGAAUUUGCGACCAGUUUGGCCAACUUGGCAAAACCCCAUCUCUACUAAAAAUACAAAAUUAGCCGGGUAUGGUGGCACNNNNNNNNNNGUUUUGCCAAGUUGGCCAAACUGGUCGCAAAUUCCUGACCUCAAGUGAUCUGCCCCGCUCAG